GAUUUCUGGCUUGAUUCAUUUGGCCGGCCACGGUUUCGUGUGUUAGUGCUUUGUGUUCUAGCCAUCCUUCCAAUCGCAAUUGGCUAUUCUUCAUUGAUUGGUCAGUUGUAUUGGAUCUUUUACUUUGAAAAAAUUAGAGUGUUUCAAGCAGGCUUUAUGCUAUGAAUACAUUAGCAUGGAAUAAUAAUUUAGGACUUCGGUUCUAUUUUGUUGGUUUCUAGGACUGAAGUAAUGAUUGAUAGGGAUAGUUGGGGGUGCUAGUAUUCAGCGGCCAGAGGUGAAAUUCUCGGAUUCGCUGAAGACUAACUUAUGCGAAAGCAUU
RNAcentral lists this ribosomal RNA (322 nucleotides) under uncultured Eocercomonas. RNAcentral describes it as "SSU rRNA". The stretch from base 112 to 322 matches the Rfam family "Eukaryotic small subunit ribosomal RNA", at positions 744 to 955 of the family's 1831-position model. The record is from RNAcentral. Lineage: Eukaryota; Cercozoa; Cercomonadida; Cercomonadidae.